Molecule: ribosomal RNA, 386 nt
Filed under: uncultured bacterium
Lineage: Bacteria
Description: partial 16S ribosomal RNA
Rfam family: Bacterial small subunit ribosomal RNA
Source: RNAcentral
UUNUUAACGNGAAGAACCUUACCAAGGCUUGACAUCGCCGGAAAUCCCGCAGNAAUGCGGGUCCUUUGGGCCGGUGACAGGUGGUGCAUGGCNGUCGUCAGNUCNUNGUGAGAUGUUGGGUUAAGUCCNGCANCGAGCGCAACCCUCGUUCCAUGUUGCCAGCACGUGAUGGUGGGGANUCAUGGGAGACCGCCGGGGUCAANUCGGAGGAAGGUGGGGAUGACGUCAAGUCAUCAUGCCCCUUAUNUCUUGGGCUGCAAACAUGCUACAAAGNCCGGUACAGUGGGNUGCGAUACCGUGAGGUGGAGCGAAUCCCUUAAAGCCGGUCUCAGUUCGGAUUGAAGUCUGCAACUCGACUUCGAAGUNGGAAUCGCUAGUANUCGCNU